UCGGAUUGGUAUAAGCCAUGCGAGUCGUUGUAGCAAUACAAGGCGGACGGCUCAGUAACACGUAGUCAACCUAACCUAUGGACGUGGAUAACCUCGGGAAACUGAGAAUAAACCGCGAUAGAUCAUUAUACCUGGAAUGGCUUAUGGUUCAAACAAUUUAUUGCCGUAGGAUGGGACUGCGGCCUAUCAGCUAGUUGGUGAGGUAAUGGCCCACCAAGGCUAUAACAGGUACGGGCUCUGAGAGGAGAAGCCCGGAGAUGGGUACUGAGACACGGACCCAGGCCCUAUGGGGCGCAGCAGGCGAGAAACCUUAGCAAUGUGCGAAAGCACGACUAGGUUAAUCCGAGUGAUUUCUGUUGAAGAAAUCUUUUGUCAGUCGUAAAACCACAGACGAAUAAGGGGUGGGCAAGUCUGGUGUCAGCCGCCGCGGUAAUACCAGCACCUCGAGUGGUCAGGAGGUUUAUUGGGCCUAAAGCAUCCGUAGCCGGCUUUGCAAGUCUNCGGGUUAAAUCCAGCUGCUUAACAGAUGGGCUGGCGGAGNNACUACACAGCUAGGGAGCGGGAGAGGCAGACGGUNUUCUNUGGNUAGGGGUAAAUCCACUGAUCCNUAGAGGACCCCAGUGGCNAAGGCGGUNUGCAGAACGCGUUC
This 649-nucleotide ribosomal RNA is filed under the name uncultured archaeon. RNAcentral's name for it is "bacterial SSU rRNA". It matches the Rfam family "Archaeal small subunit ribosomal RNA", at positions 33 to 692 of the family's 1478-position model. The record is from RNAcentral.